RNA transcript from Amaranthus tricolor (Joseph's coat), 1009 nucleotides. It is a transcript of the gene named mitochondrial import receptor subunit TOM7-1-like, with no coding region annotated. The transcript is spliced from 6 exons. Lineage: Eukaryota; Viridiplantae; Streptophyta; Magnoliopsida; Caryophyllales; Amaranthaceae. The record is from RefSeq and is a predicted model, not a curated record.
GAUCUGGCAGGCUGUUCCUUACCCCAUAUUGCAAAAAUGGAUGUUUUGUUAUAAUCAAAACUGCUACGCAUGCAACAAGUUCUUCACAGAUUUGUUCUUACUUCGCCCUAAAAAUGUUCAAACGGCGCUGAUUGCAGCUCUCCAUUUAAGGAACCCAUAUUUACUUAUUUCGGCCCAUCACUUGGAAGCUAUAAUAAGUUCUCUAAUAACCUACGAGCUCAUAUGCUAUUGUUUUUGAGAGGCUCUUAUGUUGGACUCUUCAAGUGCUUCAUCAGUAGACCAAAUUUGAUUACGGGUUGUGCGAAAUUAUUUGGGAAGUUCAGCCCUGUUGCGAUAUCAGCUGCAAUUCGGAACCUAACUUGCCAAGAAAGAGGUGGGGUUUUUCCUCUACGAAAUAAACAAUCAUCUAAACUACCGUUGGCCAUGUAUUCGUAAACUAUGCACCCGUAUUCUGGGCAUGCACCUAGAAGUAGAACCAUGUUGGGAUGCCUGAUGCAACUUAGUACUUCUACCUGCAAUAAGUUAAAGAAAAUUUGAUGGUCUACAUUUGGAUUUCAAGUAAUCAUUUUAGUAGGUCCAUAUCCUCCUUCUCCUAUUUUCAGAGAUUUAGAGAACCUAUCUGUAGCUGUUUCAAUCUCUUCAAUGGAGUACUUCCUGUACAUACCACCAUGGGAUGCGCCAUUGCUAUUUCAUCAGGACUUGCUGUUUCUUCCAGUUUCUUGUCCUCUUCUAGUCUCCUUCUGUGAAGCUCCAUUGCCUAAAACAAUCAAAUAGAAGCAAUGUCAAUUAUAAUUGUACAACAUGACCUCGAGAUCUCUUUGGUCUAGAACUGUUGAUGCAACAUGCCCUCUUCAUACACGGUUCCAAACAUUGCACUUAAAAUAAGAGUUGGAUAAGAUUUAAACCCGUGACCAUUCUGUAACAUUAACUUCUGUAACUAUGUCAAAGAACCAACUCAACCAAAAGUUUAAGCUGAUGAUUGGGGUAUAAGUGUGAAACAUACUUGUUG